This is an RNA transcript of Melanotaenia boesemani (Boeseman's rainbowfish), 2967 nucleotides long. It is a transcript of the gene named KH domain containing, RNA binding, signal transduction associated 1b, with no coding region annotated. The record is from RefSeq and is a predicted model, not a curated record. Lineage: Eukaryota; Metazoa; Chordata; Actinopteri; Atheriniformes; Melanotaeniidae. The transcript is spliced from 11 exons.
UAGAGUCGUAUCUCUCUUCUACUCUCUCGUCGCUUUUGUUCUCCCAUUUCCAACCAGCCACCGCUGCUGAACAGAGGGGCAAGUCGGGUAGGACACCACAACGAGGCACAUUUUCGGACCCGUCCGACCCAGAAAACGGCCGGUAGCCACAUGCAAAGUACCGUCUGCACAGGAGAUACGCCGCACUCUAUAAUUACAUAACCGGACUACUUUUUCUUUUUAUCCCCUUCUGCCAUUAUUGGAGUUUUAACGCUUUUCUUGUUGCAUCGAUACUGACUUCCCCCCAUCUCUUCCGAUCGCUUUGAAUUCAACAAGAUGGAGAACGACGAUAAAUAUCUCCCCGAGCUUCUGGCGGAGAAGGACAGCCUGGACUCAUCAUUCACCCACGCCAUGAAACUUUUAAACGCAGAAAUCGAUAGAUUCCAGAAAGGAGAGACUAAAAAGGAGGCAGAGACCUACCUGGACCUUUUCACAACAAAGAACAUCAAACUUAAGGAGCGAGUGCUCAUACCUGUCAAACAGUACCCAAAGUUCAAUUUUGUGGGGAAGAUUUUAGGACCUCAGGGCAACACAAUCAAACGUCUGCAGGAGGAGACUGGAGCCAAGAUCUCUGUGCUGGGCAAAGGAUCUAUGAGGGACAAAGCCAAGGAGGAGGAGCUGAGGAAAGGCGGCGAGCCCAAGUAUGCCCACUUGUCCAUGGAGCUGCAUGUGUUCAUUGAGGUGUUCGCCCCCGUGCCGGAUGCUUACCUGCGCAUGGCACACGCCAUGGAGGAGGUCAAAAAGUUCCUGUUUCCUGAUAUGAUGGAUGACAUUUGCCAAGAGCAGUUCAUGGAGAUGAGCUACCUGAACGGAGGGCAGGAGCACCGAGGCCGAGGGGGCAUGCCGGGGAGAGGCCGUGGAGUCCCACCUUCCGGACAGCACAGGGGAAGGGGGAUGCCUCCUCGUGGUGGUGCAGGUAGAGGAGGAGUGACGCGAGGUGGCCCAGGCAGAGGUGGUGCAGUCAGAGGUGCCCCAACGAGCAGAGGAGGACCCCCUGCAGCACCCAGCAGGGGAGCUGUGGCACCCCGGGCUAGACCCCUGGCUGGUGGACCACCUCAGAGGAUGGCACCACCCUCUGCUCACCAGCACACCCCUGGUGCAGCUGCUGAAGGCUAUGAGGAAUAUGGCUACGAUGAGAGCUACACAGACACAACCUACGACUCAUACGACGGCUAUUACAGCCAGCCGCAGGCAGAACCAGAAUAUUAUGACUACGGACACGGAGAGACCACAGAGUCAUAUGACUCAUAUGGCCAAGACGACUGGAACGGCACCCAGCGGACAACUCCAGGGAAGGCCCUUCCCCCAUCCAGGGGCGGCAAAACGGCAUACCGGGAGCACCCGUACCGGCAGUACUAAAGCGGACUCGCCACCCUUAGUGUCGCCCCGAUAACUGCCCCACUACCACGGCAGCUCUCGCUUUAAGAAGCCUGACAAAAUAAAAUUCUGAAAUGGCCUUUUUUAAACAACUUUCAGCAGUCAGAUGUAGGUGUUUUCCUUUGUUUCUCAUUCAAAACCGCAUUUUAAAUCUAAAUGAAUGUAUUUACGUCUGAAGACUUUAACUAUACUAAAUGAUGUCUUGACUGAUUAUCAAAAGAGCACAACUUAUUCUUUCUCUCUCUUUCUAUACUUUUUAAAAAGGACCCAGAGGUAAGACCUCUAAAAUAACCUGGAUAGCUUCCUAAUGUGUAUAGAGUUGUAAAGCAUUGAAUGCCUGGGUAUGUAUAAGACUUUUUCAAUCCUCUUACCUGUGGUCGUAAUCGUCAAUGAGAAUUGCUUUUAUAGCGUCUGAAAAUUAACUGAAUUCAAACCACCAUUCAGGUCUAGGCCUCAUUGUCAUGAAUGACGCUGGCGCGAUGGCUACUUUAGUACAGAGUAAUGGCAGUGCAAUGGAGAGGAUGGUUAUAACCUAGAGAACUCCACUGUAAAGGUAACCUAACCCUAAAUGUUUAAUUUCGUAGUGUGUUUAUCCUUUGACAUAAACUUGCUGGUAAAACACUUUCUUAAAAUAUUAUUAGUCAUUGCAACAAAAAGAAUCGACUCAAAAGUAAGAAAAAAGUAACUUCCAACAUUACACAGUAGUGGAUUUUAUGUACCAAAAUAACUGUUUUUGUGUACUAACAAAAUAUGUUAGGAUAGUGUUAAUGCAACUCUAGCUAAAAUGAACCAAGCCAAAUCUGACAAUAUUUUCUGUACAGCUGAGCUGCUGUUACUUUUUUAUUUGCUUACUGUAAUUAAAAAAUGCCUGUACAGUUAUCCAAAAACUGAGUUGCAUGAGCAUAUCUUCUCUUGUAGACUUUGCAUGACAAGUUUCAAGUUUCUCCCAGUGUUUUUAGACAAGGUGUUGAUUUGGGCUUUGUCCUUCCUCCAGGCACAGCUAUCGGUCACUGAGUGCCCGGAGACCGACGGUCUGCUGGAGACCUUGCAGCCCUCAGUGAAGCGGUGCUCGGGGAGCAGCUCAGCAUGAAGAAGGUGGGGGUGUCCUGUUGGGGGGGGAGGGUGAAUAAAAAAAGCGCUGCCCAAAACCCAGUUUGCUGCCACAUCAUCUAAAAGAGUCUGCUGGCAAAGACUUGAACAGGAAAUAAGACUGAAGCAGGUCAACAGAGACAUCCAACUAACUGGGAAUACAGAAUAUUCUCACAACUCAUUUCUUAUGGACUGUUUUUCUAUUUAUUCAUGUCUUGUCAGUGCUGAAUUACCAUGCAUUAUCCUCUUGUAAUUACGUCCUAACUUUGAAGACGCCCACUUGAAGCCUUUGCUGAUUGUAUGCUCCUGUACACAGCUUCCACAGACCUCCCCCUCGUGCUGCAAAUGUAAUUGUUUCAUCUUAAUUUGCCAUAAAAUAAGCCCUCCCGUUAUAGUAGGCUGUGAAAUUGUUUUUAAUUGACUUGUCUUGAAUAAGACAUUAAAAGAACUCUUUUUACUUCC